UGCAGUCUGAGUAAACUUAAUUAAUAAAUUAAAACUUUUAACAACGGAUCUCUUGGUUCUGGCAUCGAUGAAGAACGCAGCGAAAUGCGAUAAGUAAUGUGAAUUGCAGAAUUCAGUGAAUCAUCGAAUCUUUGAACGCACAUUGCGCCCCCUGGUAUUCCGGGGGGCAUGCCUGUUCGAGCGUCAUU
This 188-nucleotide ribosomal RNA is filed under the name ascomycete sp. HK-S282. RNAcentral's name for it is "5.8S ribosomal RNA". The stretch from base 33 to 186 matches the Rfam family "5.8S ribosomal RNA". Rfam says of the family: 5.8S ribosomal RNA (5.8S rRNA) is a component of the large subunit of the eukaryotic ribosome. It is transcribed by RNA polymerase I as part of the 45S precursor that also contains 18S and 28S rRNA. Functionally, it is thought that 5.8S rRNA may be involved in ribosome translocation. Lineage: Eukaryota; Fungi; Ascomycota. The record is from RNAcentral.